UACUAUGUUAAAUCUUAUUUUAUUGCCAUCAUCUUAGAGUACAAAGUCAUAUCUAUGUGGUCCGUGAAAUUACAAAAAGAAAAACAAAUUAUUAGGUGCCUAUAUACAUAAGUAUUUUAUUUCAGCAGGAGGCUCUUUGGUUUGAUACUCAUAGAAUCUAUGGCUUUCUUUUAUUAAUACAUGUACAAAUGCCAUUAAUACACCUUGGUCUAAUAGGAGGCGGGCACAUAUAUGCUGGGCAUUGAAAAUCUCGAUUACAUUGAAUAGUUGCUGUAAUAAAAAAAGAGAAACAAAUGGUUAAUAAAAUGUUGUGUAUGAAGUAAUUAAAAAAAUUUGUAAAAGAUAAAAAAUGGUCUACCAUCAACAUUCGUUGCAACAAGAAAUGCAUAAAGAGAUGUAAUCAUAACGUAAACAAAGUUAACAAUUUUAACCAUAUUUCCCUUCUUUUCAUGUACCAAGUAUAAUAUGAUUUUUUUUGUACUUAAGUAUAAUAUGAUUUUAUUCACUUUAUAAUGUAUAAAUUAAAGUGCAUGCUCUCCUUUAUUACAUCAAUUAAAUAGUGUUUUUUUUGUGAUACAUCAAUUAAAUAGUUUUCAGCACUUAUAAAAUUGUAAAAAAAACUCUUUACAAGAUUAGUAUCAUUAUUAAACGUCUCAUAAACACAUCAAAGUGUUAUGUUUGUCCUUUCAAUGCACUUAUUAUGGAGGUUGCAUUAAAAAAU
RNAcentral lists this long non-coding RNA (721 nucleotides) under Trifolium pratense (red clover). RNAcentral describes it as "long non-coding RNA (TPRA_LNC008504)". The record is from RNAcentral. Lineage: Eukaryota; Viridiplantae; Streptophyta; Magnoliopsida; Fabales; Fabaceae.